This 300-nucleotide ribosomal RNA is filed under the name Triticum aestivum (bread wheat). RNAcentral describes it as "partial small subunit ribosomal RNA". The record is from RNAcentral. Lineage: Eukaryota; Viridiplantae; Streptophyta; Magnoliopsida; Poales; Poaceae.
AUGAAAAUAAUAAGUUGGAACUGCCGAGGUUUGGGUCAACCUCGGACAGUCUUGGAAUUGGAGUGCCUCAUGAAGACGCACAGACCCAAAGUUAUCUUCCUUUCUGAAACAAGAAAAUAUAAAGAGUAUGUUGAGAGUUUGCGCUACCGCUUGAGUAUGAAAAAUGUGUUUUCUGUUUCUGUUCCAAGGAAAGGUGGUGGUGUAGCAGUCUUCUGGGAUGAUUUGUAUAAUCUACAGUUGAAUAAAUACGGUGAACAUUUUAUUGACAUGUACAUUUGUAAAGAAGAUGGAACUAAGUAG